GAUGAACGCUGGCGGCGUGCUUAACACAUGCAAGUCGAACGAGAAGUGGAGACGGAAACCUUCGGGCGGAAGACUUUAUUUCGAGUGGCGGACGGGUGAGUAACGCGUGGGUAACCUGCCUCAUACAGGGGGAUAACAGUUGGAAACGACUGUUAAUACCGCAUAAGACCACAGCACCGCAUGGUGCGGGGGUAAAAACUCCGGUGGUAUGAGAUGGACCCGCGUUCGAUUAGCCAGUUGGCGGGGUAACGGCCCACCAAAGCGACGAUCGAUAGCCGAUCUGAGAGGAUGACCGGCCACAUUGGGACUGAGACACGGCCCAAACUCCUACGGGAGGCAGCAGUGGGGAAUAUUGCACAAUGGGGGAAACCCUGAUGCAGCGACGCCGCGUGAGUGAGGAAGUAUUUCGGUAUGUAAAGCUCUAUCAGCAGGGAAGAAAAUGACGGUACCUGAGUAAGAAGCCCCGGCUAACUACGUG
This 478-nucleotide ribosomal RNA is filed under the name uncultured bacterium. Its description in RNAcentral is "partial 16S ribosomal RNA". It matches the Rfam family "Bacterial small subunit ribosomal RNA", at positions 28 to 507 of the family's 1533-position model. The record is from RNAcentral.